GCCUGGCUGGCUCAGUCAGUAGAGCAUGCGACUUUUGAUCUCAGUGGUUUGAGUUCAAGUCCCACACUGGGCA
This 73-nucleotide transfer RNA is filed under the name Ailuropoda melanoleuca (giant panda). It matches the Rfam family "tRNA". Rfam says of the family: Transfer RNA (tRNA) molecules are approximately 80 nucleotides in length. The record is from Rfam by way of RNAcentral. Lineage: Eukaryota; Metazoa; Chordata; Mammalia; Carnivora; Ursidae.